GACGAACGCUGGCGGCGUGCCUAAUACAUGCAAGUAGAACGCACAGUUUAUACCGUAGCUUGCUACACCAUAGACUGUGAGUUGCGAACGGGUGAGUAACGCGUAGGUAACCUGCCUGGUAGCGGGGGAUAACUAUUGGAAACGAUAGCUAAUACCGCAUAAUAUUAAUUAUUGCAUGAUAAUUAAUUGAAAGGUGCAAUUGCACCACUACCAGAUGGACCUGCGUUGUAUUAGCUAGUAGGUGAGGUAACGGCUCACCUAGGCGACGAUAAAUAGCCGAACUGAGAGGGUGAUCGGCCACACUGGGACUGAGACACGGCCCAGACUCCUACGGGAGGCAGCAGUAGGGAAUCUUCGGCAAUGGACGAAAGUCUGACCGAGCAACACCGCGUGAGUGAAGAAGGUUUUCGGAUCGUAAAGCUCUGUUGUAAGAGAAGAACGGGUGUGAGAGUGGAAAGUUCACACUGUGACGGUAUCUUACCAGAAAGGGACGGCUAACUACGUG
Molecule: ribosomal RNA, 505 nt
Filed under: uncultured bacterium
Lineage: Bacteria
Description: partial 16S ribosomal RNA
Rfam family: Bacterial small subunit ribosomal RNA
Source: RNAcentral